UGGGGAAUUUUGGACAAUGGGCGAAAGCCUGAUCCAGCAAUGCCGCGUGUGUGAAGAAGGCCUUCGGGUUGUAAAGCACUUUUGUCCGGAAAGAAAUCCUUGGCUCUAAUACAGUCGGGGGAUGACGGUACCGGAAGAAUAAGCACCGGCUAACUACGUGCCAGCAGCCGCGGUAAUACGUAGGGUGCAAGCGUUAAUCGGAAUUACUGGGCGUAAAGCGUGCGCAGGCGGUUUGCUAAGACCGAUGUGAAAUCCCGGGCUCAACCUGGGAACUGCAUUGGUGACUGGCAGGCUAGAGUAUGGCAGAGGGGGGUAGAAUUCCACGUGUAGCAGUGAAAUGCGUAGAGAUGUGGAGGAAUACCGAUGGCGAAGGCAGCCCCCUGGGCCAAAUACUGACGCUCAUGCACGAAAGCGUGGGGAGCAAACAGGAUUAGAUACCCUGGUAGUCCACGCCCUAAACGAUGUCAACUAGUUGUUGGGGAUUCAUUUCCUUAGUAACGUAGCUAACGCGUGAAGUUGACCGCCUGGGGAGUACGGUCGCAAGAUUAAAACUCAAAGGAAUUGACGGGGUCAUAGCUGUUUCCU
RNAcentral lists this ribosomal RNA (585 nucleotides) under uncultured bacterium. RNAcentral's name for it is "partial 16S ribosomal RNA". It matches the Rfam family "Bacterial small subunit ribosomal RNA", at positions 355 to 1375 of the family's 1533-position model. The record is from RNAcentral.